AAAUAAUAGCAAGGUGCUUUAAGGCCACCUUGCAUAACUCGAGCAUCUAUUUGACAUGAUGAAACUAGCUGUAGCAGGUCGUGGAUAUCAGACUUGAGCGAUAACCUACAAAUGCCAAAUAAACUUAGAUGAGUGAAAGAAGUGGUGGAUGGACUCUGCUGGAUUUCUUCAUCUCAGAAGAAAAACAGCUGCGCACACCAACACCGAGGCAGUCAUGUGGAGAAGUUAAACUAAUAUAAUCCAUGAUUCGCUCAACAAAAAGUUAAAUAAAGAACAGGUUGGCCAACUUGGCACACGCCUGGUUUUAUAAUAUAAUUGCUUGCAGCCAGAAAAAUUUGUUUCCAUUCUUCGAGGAGGGAUCUAGUUCUUCCUUGUCCUCCUAAAUUGUUUAUAGAGGCCAUAUAUUGAAUAGAGAUAGUGUUUUGUGAGUCUA
This is a long non-coding RNA of Zingiber officinale, 433 nucleotides long. RefSeq lists it as uncharacterized. The transcript is spliced from 2 exons. The record is from RefSeq and is a predicted model, not a curated record. Lineage: Eukaryota; Viridiplantae; Streptophyta; Magnoliopsida; Zingiberales; Zingiberaceae.